UACAGGCUUAACACAUGCAAGUCCCUUGGCAUCAGGAAGAAAGCUUGCUUUCUUUGCUGGCGACCGGCGCACGGGUGAGUAACACGUAUCCAACCUGCCCUUUACUCGGGGAUAGCCUUUCGAAAGAAAGAUUAAUACCCGAUAGCAUAAUGAUUCCGCAUGGUUUCAUUAUUAAAGGAUUCCGGUAAAGGAUGGGGAUGCGUUCCAUUAGGUUGUUGGUGGGGUAACGGCCCACCAAGCCUUCGAUGGAUAGGGGUUCUGAGAGGAAGGUCCCCCACAUUGGAACUGAGACACGGUCCAAACUCCUACGGGAGGCAGCAGUGAGGAAUAUUGGUCAAUGGGCGCUAGCCUGAACCAGCCAAGUAGCGUGAAGGAUGAAGGCUCUAUGGGUCGUAAACUUCUUUUAUAUAAGAAUAAAGUGCAGUAUGUAUACUGUUUUGUAUGUAUUAUAUGAAUAAGGAUCGGCUAACUCCGUGCCAGCAGCCGCGGUAAUACGGAGGAUCCGAGCGUUAUCCGGAUUUAUUGGGUUUAAAGGGAGCGUAGGUGGACUGGUAAGUCAGUUGUGAAAGUUUGCGGCUCAACCGUAAAAUUGCAGUUGAUACUGUCAGUCUUGAGUACAGUAGAGGUGGGCGGAAUUCGUGGUGUAGCGGUGAAAUGCUUAGAUAUCACGAGGAACUCCGAUUGCGAAGGCAGCUCACUGGACUGCAACUGACACUGAUGCUCGAAAGUGUGGGUAUCAAACAGGAUUAGAUACCCUGGUAGUCCACACAGUAAACGAUGAAUACUCGCUGUUUGCGAUAUACAGUAAGCGGCCAAGCGAAAGCAUUAAGUAUUCCACCUGGGGAGUACGCCGGCAACGGUGAAACUCAAAGGAAUUGACGGGGGCCCGCACAAGCGGAGGAACAUGUGGUUUAAUUCGAUGAUACGCGAGGAACCUUACCCGGGCUUAAAUUGCAGUGGAAUGAUGUGGAAACAUGUCAGUGAGCAAUCACCGCUGUGAAGGUGCUGCAUGGUUGUCGUCAGCUCGUGCCGUGAGGUGUCGGCUUAAGUGCCAUAACGAGCGCAACCCUUAUCUUUAGUUACUAACAGGUCAUGCUGAGGACUCUAGAGAGACUGCCGUCGUAAGAUGUGAGGAAGGUGGGGAUGACGUCAAAUCAGCACGGCCCUUACGUCCGGGGCUACACACGUGUUACAAUGGGGGGUACAGAAGGCAGCUAGCGGGUGACCGUAUGCUAAUCCCAAAAGCCUCUCUCAGUUCGGAUCGAAGUCUGCAACCCGACUUCGUGAAGCUGGAUUCGCUAGUAAUCGCGCAUCAGCCACGGCGCGGUGAAUACGUUCCCGGGCCUUGUACACACCGCCCGUCAAGCCAUGGGAGCCGGGGGUACCUGAAGUACGUAACCGCAAGGAUCGUCCUAGGGUAAAACUGGU
Molecule: ribosomal RNA, 1428 nt
Filed under: uncultured organism
Description: SSU rRNA
Rfam family: Bacterial small subunit ribosomal RNA
Source: RNAcentral